This 27-nucleotide small RNA is filed under the name Bombyx mori (domestic silkworm). Its description in RNAcentral is "ovarian small RNA-27161". Lineage: Eukaryota; Metazoa; Arthropoda; Insecta; Lepidoptera; Bombycidae. The record is from RNAcentral.
UCCCAGCCAGUACACACGCCGCCUCAA